GUGGGAGUAGCUGUCUUCCAGGCACAUGUGGAACUUAUCUUAUAGGUGAACAGACCUUUUUUUGACUUCGGGACGGGUAGACCCCGAUGAACUUGAUAGCGGUGUGCAAUUUUUCGUGGAGGUUAUAAUUUACUCUGCGCUUUGUUGUGCCUUCUUCGGUUGGGAAAACCGGGGGAAUGAUGAAAUUCUGCUUGUUGUUUUGUUUGGGAUAACUAUGGAGACCUUUGGGUGAGGGAAUUGGUAUAUGAGACUGUUGGAAAAAGAAAAGUUACCGCGGGGAUAACAGCACUGUCUCCUCGGAGAGAAUACAUUGCAGAGGGGGUUUGUGACCUCGAUUUUGGAUCAUUUGAUUCUGGGCGGUAAAGAGGCUGCUUUGGGAGGGACUGUUCGUCCUUGAAAUUUUU
The sequence is a ribosomal RNA, 404 nucleotides long. It matches the Rfam family "Bacterial large subunit ribosomal RNA", at positions 2006 to 2597 of the family's 2925-position model.